AACGAACGCUGGCGGCAUGCCUAACACAUGCAAGUCGAACGAGACCUUCGGGUCUAGUGGCGCACGGGUGCGUAACGCGUGGGAACCUGCCCUUAGGUUCGGAAUAACUCCCCGAAAGGGGUGCUAAUACCGGAUAAUGUCUUCGGACCAAAGAUUUAUCGCCUUUGGAUGGGCCCGCGUUGGAUUAGCUAGUUGGCAGGGUAAAAGCCUACCAAGGCGACGAUCCAUAGCUGGUCUGAGAGGAUGAUCAGCCACACUGGGACUGAGACACGGCCCAGACUCCUACGGGAGGCAGCAGUGGGGAAUAUUGGACAGUGGGCGAAAGCCUGAUCCAGCAAUGCCGCGUGAGUGAUGAAGGCCUUAGGGUUGUAAAGCUCUUUUACCCGGGAUGAUAAUGACAGUACCGGGAGAAUAAGCUCCGGCUAACUCCGUG
This 433-nucleotide ribosomal RNA is filed under the name uncultured bacterium. Its description in RNAcentral is "partial 16S ribosomal RNA". It matches the Rfam family "Bacterial small subunit ribosomal RNA", at positions 29 to 507 of the family's 1533-position model. The record is from RNAcentral.